Molecule: ribosomal RNA, 392 nt
Filed under: uncultured bacterium
Lineage: Bacteria
Description: partial 16S ribosomal RNA
Rfam family: Bacterial small subunit ribosomal RNA
Source: RNAcentral
AUACGGAGGAUGCGAGCGUUAUCCGGAUUUAUUGGGUUUAAAGGGUGCGCAGGCGGCCAUUUAAGUCAGCGGUUAAAUCGUGGGGCUCAACCCCAUUCUGCCGUUGAUACUGGGUGGCUUGAUUGCGGUCGAGGUUGGCGGAAUUCGUUGUGUAGCGGUGAAAUGCAUAGAUAUGACGAAGAACACCGAUUGCGUAGGCAGCUGACCAGACCGCAAAUGACGCUCAUGCACGAAAGUGCGGGGAUCGAACAGGAUUAGAUACCCUGGUAGUCCGCACAGUAAACGAUGAAUACUCGCUGUUUGCGAUACACUGUAAGCGGCCAAGCGAAAGCGUUAAGUAUUCCACCUGGGGAGUACGCCGGCAACGGUGAAACUCAAAUGAAUUGGCGGGG